This is a long non-coding RNA of Xiphias gladius (swordfish), 546 nucleotides long. RefSeq lists it as uncharacterized. The transcript has 4 exons. The record is from RefSeq and is a predicted model, not a curated record. Lineage: Eukaryota; Metazoa; Chordata; Actinopteri; Istiophoriformes; Xiphiidae.
UUUAUAUAGCACCACAAAGUUCAUCCUCCAAAAUGGUUAAGUUGAACCAACACCUUUCUAAAACUGUUUCAACAACAACUGAACAUUAUAAGCUUCUUGAAAGGCAGGAUUUAUUGCAGCACUGCUGGAUUCAACUGAAUUAGUUUUAACUCACUGUACCUAAUAAACUGGCCAAGUGUAGAGCCACACUGAGCUACGUGCAGUACACACUUGAAGAGCUGGUUACAUUUCGCUGAUGGUGAUUCCCAGCUCCACCCCUGGUUUCUUUGGGAGCUUCACGUGGAACGUUCCGGAGCUGGGGAUGACCGACUCUGAGACGGAAAGAGAGACGGAGACUGCAGACGCCAGAGGAGCAGAGCUAAACACAGACUGACUGUCAACCAGCCAAAACGAGACGAAACAGACACCAGGCUGCCGCGUGAGCUGAGCGGUGAUGGACGAGUCUCUGAGCAGCUGAUUGGUUUCUUCCAGGGUGGAGUCUUCGGUAGGAACUCCAUUUAUGGACAAAAUCCUGUCACCGAUCUGCAGGAUACCACACCUGCAAAC